Molecule: ribosomal RNA, 553 nt
Filed under: Atoxoplasma sp. MS-2003
Lineage: Eukaryota; Apicomplexa; Conoidasida; Eucoccidiorida; Eimeriidae
Description: SSU rRNA
Rfam family: Eukaryotic small subunit ribosomal RNA
Source: RNAcentral
UUUUCUUGAUUCUAUGGGUGGUGGUGCAUGGCCGUUCUUAGUUGGUGGAGUGAUCUGUCUGGUUAAUUUCGAUAACGAACGAGACCUUAGCCUGCUAAAUAGGAUCGGGAACCUCGGUUUCCGCAUCACUUCUUAGAGGGACUUUGCGUGUCUAACGCAAGGAAGUUUGAGGCAAUAACAGGUCUGUGAUGCCCUUAGAUGUUCUGGGCUGCACGCGCGCUACACUGAUGCACUCAACGAGUUUUUGACCUUGGCCGGAAGGUCUAGGUAAUCUUUUGAGUAUGCAUCGUGAUGGGGAUAGAUUAUUGCAAUUAUUAAUCUUCAACGAGGAAUGCCUAGUAGGCGCAAGUCAGCAGCUUGCGCCGAUUACGUCCCUGCCCUUUGUACACACCGCCCGUCGCUGCAACCGAUCGGAGGGUCCUGUGAACUCAUCGGACUGACUUGCUUCUGCGCUUGCGUAGUUGCUCGUCGGGAAGUUGCGUAAAUAGAGCCCUCUAAAGGAUGCAAAAGUCGUAACACGGUUUCCGUAGGUGAACCUGCGGAAGGAUCAUUC